CACCGGCGGCGAAGGCGGCNUACUGGACUGUAACUGACGUUGAGGCUCGAAAGCGUGGGGGAGCAAACAGGAUUAGAUACCCUGGUAGUCCACGCUGUAAACGAUGAUUACUAGGUGUUGGGUGUCAAAGACAUUCGGUGCCGCAGCAAACGCAGUAAGUAAUCCACCUGGGGAGUACGUUCGCAAGAAU
This 190-nucleotide ribosomal RNA is filed under the name uncultured bacterium. Its description in RNAcentral is "partial 16S ribosomal RNA". It matches the Rfam family "Bacterial small subunit ribosomal RNA", at positions 707 to 895 of the family's 1533-position model. The record is from RNAcentral.